Molecule: long non-coding RNA, 104 nt
Organism: Melitaea cinxia (Glanville fritillary)
Lineage: Eukaryota; Metazoa; Arthropoda; Insecta; Lepidoptera; Nymphalidae
Exons: 3
Source: RefSeq, a predicted model, not a curated record
CAUGUAUGUAUGUAUGUAUGUUAAAAUGGGCCAUUUUCUGCAACUCGACGUCUUUGUGUGCCUAUUUUGCGUGUGUUUCUCUAUAUUUUUUUUUAAUUCUAUUU